UUGUUCACUUUGGCAGCAUACAUAUUAAAAAUUAAAACAAUGCACAGAAGAUUAGUAUGGCCCCUGCACAUUCAUGCACAAAAAUCAAAUCCAUAAGAUUCUC
Molecule: small nuclear RNA, 103 nt
Filed under: Notamacropus eugenii (tammar wallaby)
Lineage: Eukaryota; Metazoa; Chordata; Mammalia; Diprotodontia; Macropodidae
Source: RNAcentral